RNAcentral lists this ribosomal RNA (425 nucleotides) under uncultured bacterium. RNAcentral's name for it is "bacterial SSU rRNA". It matches the Rfam family "Bacterial small subunit ribosomal RNA", at positions 357 to 773 of the family's 1533-position model. The record is from RNAcentral.
GGGAAUUUUGGGCAAUGGCCGCAAGGCUGACCCAGCGACGCCGCGUGCGGGAGGACGCCUUUCGGGGUGUAAACCGCUGUCAGAGGGGACGAACCGCCGGAGGGGGAAUACGCCUUCGGUCUGACGGUACCCGCACAGGAAGCGCCGGCUAACUCCGUGACAGCAGCCGCGGUAAGACGGAGGGCGCGAGCGUUGUUCGGAAUUACUGGGCGUAAAGCGCGCGCAGGCGGAACGGUAAGUCGGGGGUGAAAGACCGGGGCUCAACCCCGGGGCGGCCUCCGAGACUGUCGUUCUGGGGACCGGUAGGGGCGGGUAGAAUUCCCGGUGUAGCGGUGGAAUGCGUAGAGAUCGGGAAGAACACCGGUGGCGAAGGCGGCCCGCUGGGCCGGAUCCGACGCUGAGGCGCGAAAGCGUGGGGAGCAAAC